GACGAACGCUGGCGGCGUGCUUAACACAUGCAAGUCGAACGGAAAGGCCCUGCUUUUGUGGGGUGCUCGAGUGGCGAACGGGUGAGUAACACGUGAGUAACCUGCCCUUGACUUUGGGAUAACUUCAGGAAACUGGGGCUAAUACCGGAUAGGAGCUCCUGCUGCAUGGUGGGGGUUGGAAAGUUUCGGCGGUUGGGGAUGGACUCGCGGCGUAUCAGCUUGUUGGUGGGGUAGUGGCUUACCAAGGCUUUGACGGGUAGCCGGCCUGAGAGGGUGACCGGCCACAUUAGGACUGAGAUACGGCCCAGACUCCUACGGGAGGCAGCAGUGGGGAAUAUUGCACUAUGGGCGGAAGCCUGAUGCAGCAACGCCGCGUGCGGGAUGACGGCCUUCGGGUUGUAAACCGCUUUCGCCUGUGACGAAGCGUGAGUGACGGUAAUGGGUAAAGAAGCACCGGCUAACUACGUG
This 468-nucleotide ribosomal RNA is filed under the name uncultured bacterium. RNAcentral's name for it is "partial 16S ribosomal RNA". It matches the Rfam family "Bacterial small subunit ribosomal RNA", at positions 28 to 507 of the family's 1533-position model. The record is from RNAcentral.